Molecule: ribosomal RNA, 1145 nt
Filed under: Bacillus subtilis
Lineage: Bacteria; Bacillati; Bacillota; Bacilli; Caryophanales; Bacillaceae
Description: bacterial SSU rRNA
Rfam family: Bacterial small subunit ribosomal RNA
Source: RNAcentral
UGCCACCUCGGCGGCGGCUCAAACAGCAAUCCGAGCGGACAGAAGGGAGCUUGCUCCCGGUAGUUAGCGGCGGACGGGUGAGUAACACGUGGGUAACCUGCCUGUAAGACUGGGAUAACUCCGGGAAACCGGAGCUAAUACCGGAUAGUUCCUUGAACCGCAUGGUUCAAGGAUGAAAGACGGUUUCGGCUGUCACUUACAGAUGGACCCGCGGCGCAUUAGCUAGUUGGUGGGGUAAUGGCUCACCAAGGCGACGAUGCGUAGCCGACCUGAGAGGGUGAUCGGCCACACUGGGACUGAGACACGGCCCAGACUCCUACGGGAGGCAGCAGUAGGGAAUCUUCCGCAAUGGACGAAAGUCUGACGGAGCAACGCCGCGUGAGUGAUGAAGGUUUUCGGAUCGUAAAGCUCUGUUGUUAGGGAAGAACAAGUGCGAGAGUAACUGCUCGCACCUUGACGGUACCUAACCAGAAAGCCACGGCUAACUACGUGCCAGCAGCCGCGGUAAUACGUAGGUGGCAAGCGUUGUCCGGAAUUAUUGGGCGUAAAGGGCUCGCAGGCGGUUUCUUAAGUCUGAUGUGAAAGCCCCCGGCUCAACCGGGGAGGGUCAUUGGAAACUGGGAAACUUGAGUGCAGAAGAGGAGAGUGGAAUUCCACGUGUAGCGGUGAAAUGCGUAGAGAUGUGGAGGAACACCAGUGGCGAAGGCGACUCUCUGGUCUGUAACUGACGCUGAGGAGCGAAAGCGUGGGGAGCGAACAGGAUUAGAUACCCUGGUAGUCCACGCCGUAAACGAUGAGUGCUAAGUGUUAGGGGGUUUCCGCCCCUUAGUGCUGCAGCUAACGCAUUAAGCACUCCGCCUGGGGAGUACGGUCGCAAGACUGAAACUCAAAGGAAUUGACGGGGGCCCGCACAAGCGGUGGGAGCAUGUGGUUUUAAUUUCGAAGCAACGCGAAGAAACCUUACCAGGUCUUGACAUCCCUCUGACAACCCUAGAGAUAGGGGCUUUUCCCUUCGGGGACAGAGUGACAGGUGGUGCAUGGUUUGUCGUCAGCUCGUGUCCGUGGAGAUGGUUGGGUUUAAGGUCCCGGCAACGAGCGCAGCCCUUGGAUUCUACUGCAGCCAUUCCAGUUGAGACACCUUCUAU